This is a non-coding RNA of Sorex fumeus (smoky shrew), 474 nucleotides long. The record is from the annotation of a RefSeq genome assembly. NCBI's taxonomy places the organism in Eukaryota, Metazoa, Chordata, Mammalia, Eulipotyphla, Soricidae.
AUGACCUGGGCUCUUCUCCUCCUCAGCUUCCUCAGCCAGGGCCCAGGGACCUGGGCCCAGUCUGCUCUGACUCAACCUCUCUCAGUGUCUGGGACUGAGGGACAGACAGUCACCAUCUCCUGUACUGGGACCAGCAAUGACAUUGGGAAACAUAACUAUAUAUCCUGGUUCCAGCAGCAGGAUGGCACAGCCCCCAAAGAGCUGAUUUAUGAUGUAAAUAAGCGGCCAUCAGGGAUCCCUGAUCGCUUCUCUGGCUCCAAGUCUGGCAACACAGGGACCCUGACCAUCUCUGGGCUCAAGCCUGAGGAUGAGACAGAUUACUACUGUAUCUCAUAUACAAGUACUAACACUUUCCACAGUAGCUGCUGUACACAAGGAAGUGAGACAAAAACCUGUUCUCAACCUCCUCAGACUCGCACACUUCUGAAUUCAAGUUUUGUUGCUUUUAUCUUACUUAAAAAAUUUAGUUGUUAA